CAGCCGCCGCGGUAACACCAGCAGCCCAAGUGGUGGUCGCGUUUAUUGGGCCUAAAGCGCUCGUAGCCUGGCCGGUAAGUUCCCCGUGGAAUCGGGUCGCCCAACGAUUCGGCUUGCGGGGAAUACUGUCGGUCUUGGGGCCGGGAGACGCCGAGGGUACUCCGGGGGUAGCGGUGAAAUGCUGUAAUCCUCGGGGGACUACCAGUGGCGAAGGCGCUCGGCGAUAACGGGCCUGACGGUGAGGGGCGAAAGCUGGGGGCGCGAACGGGAUUAGAUACCCCUGUAGUCCCUGUCUCUUAUA
This 301-nucleotide ribosomal RNA is filed under the name uncultured bacterium. RNAcentral's name for it is "partial 16S ribosomal RNA". It matches the Rfam family "Archaeal small subunit ribosomal RNA", at positions 459 to 759 of the family's 1478-position model. The record is from RNAcentral.